CAGGUAAGUACUGUGUAAGAACCUGUCCUUGAGAGGGGAACAACAGCUGGAAAUGGCUGCUAAUACCCCGCUGGCUGAGGUGCAAAAGGAGGAAUCCGCCCGACUGAUUAGCUAAUUGGUGAGACAAUAGCUUACCAAAAUGAUGAUCCAUAGCUGGUCCAAGAGGAUGAUCAGCCACACUGGAAUAGUCAACCUUCCUGCAAAAGAUCUUUU
Molecule: non-coding RNA, 213 nt
Filed under: Vitis vinifera (wine grape)
Lineage: Eukaryota; Viridiplantae; Streptophyta; Magnoliopsida; Vitales; Vitaceae
Description: Bacterial small subunit ribosomal RNA
Rfam family: Bacterial small subunit ribosomal RNA
Source: Rfam by way of RNAcentral